Lolium perenne is the source of this 838-nucleotide long non-coding RNA. RefSeq lists it as uncharacterized. Lineage: Eukaryota; Viridiplantae; Streptophyta; Magnoliopsida; Poales; Poaceae. The record is from RefSeq and is a predicted model, not a curated record.
AACGGCCUCUCCUCAGAAGAUGGACGCGCACGUGGGCGGACCCGCGCCUGAGGGCCGCCAUGGUUGUGUCCGUCCUUGUGGCGAGCGAGCCAAGGACAGGGGAGGGGCGGAGAUGCACCCGUCGUCCUGGUGGCUGUUCGGGACGAGCACCUUGGGCGACGGCCGCGGCCGGCGGGAGGAGCUCGGCAUGCCGCAGGAAGAAGAGAUGGUGGUCGCCUGUCCGGAACUGUUGUUGCCGGCGCCGGCGACGUCCCCGAGCUGUUGCUGCCAUCCACGACUCGGCCAUGCUGCUGCCGACGACCUCCCCAACCUGCAGCUGCCCUCUGAGGCUGCUGUUGGGGACAAGAAGCUUGGGCGUUGGCUGCGGCCGGCGGGAGGAGCUCGCCACGCCGCAUGAAGAAGAGAUGGUGGUCGCCUGUCCGGAACUGUUGCUGCCGGCACCGGCGACGUCCCCCGACCUAUUGCUGCCUUCCACGACUCCUUCAUGCUGCUGCCGACGACCUCCCCGACCUGCAGCUGCCCUUUGAGGGUGUUCUGGAGCAGGGGAGAGGCCGAGGGGGUGACUUUGGGUCUGGGCAGUGAUGACCAUCCCAACCAACUUGGCCAAGCACCAAGUCAACCUGCAGGUGGCUCCCAUCAUAGCCAAGAUCAUGGCGAAGGUCAACGACGGGUCCUAGUGAAUGUCAUGAGCUCACCAUGCUGCAACCGUGGUGGCGGUGACGCUCAUCCUCGUGGACGACCUCUUAGAGCUCGAUGCUUUGGAAGCCAAUAUGGAGUUCAAAUCGAAUCCAGUCCCAUGUUACCUUCAACCAGACUAGGAGUGGUCAUGUAGCAGCCC